GGCCGGUUCAAGUGCAGUGGUUCAAGUGCAGUGGUGUUUACAACCAAUUGAUCACAACCAGUUACAUAUUUCUUUGUUCCUUCUCCACUCCCACUGCUUCAUUUGACUAGCCUUAA
This is an unclassified non-coding RNA of Saimiri boliviensis boliviensis (Bolivian squirrel monkey), 116 nucleotides long. It matches the Rfam family "Y RNA". Rfam says of the family: Y RNAs are components of the Ro ribonucleoprotein particle (Ro RNP), in association with Ro60 and La proteins. Lineage: Eukaryota; Metazoa; Chordata; Mammalia; Primates; Cebidae. The record is from Ensembl.